CGCCAGACUCCUACGGGAGGCAGCAGUGGGGAAUAUUGCACAAUGGGGGAAACCCUGAUGCAGCGACGCCGCGUGAGCGAUGAAGUAUUUCGGUAUGUAAAGCUCUAUCAGCAGGGAAGAAGAUGACGGUACCUGACUAAGAAGCCCCGGCUAACUACGUGCCAGCAGCCGCGGUAAUACGUAGGGGGCAAGCGUUAUCCGGAUUUACUGGGUGUAAAGGGAGCGUAGACGGCGGCGCAAGCCAGAUGUGAAAGCCCGGGGCUCAACUCCGGGACUGCAUUUGGAACUGUGUGGCUGGAGUGUCGGAGAGGCAGGCGGAAUUCCUAGUGUAGCGGUGAAAUGCGUAGAUAUUAGGAGGAACACCAGUGGCGAAGGCGGCCUGCUGGACGAUGACUGACGUUGAGGCUCGAAAGCGUGGGGAGCAAACAGGAUUAGAUACCCUAGUA
This 446-nucleotide ribosomal RNA is filed under the name uncultured bacterium. Its description in RNAcentral is "bacterial SSU rRNA". It matches the Rfam family "Bacterial small subunit ribosomal RNA", at positions 329 to 792 of the family's 1533-position model. The record is from RNAcentral.